CCUACGGGACGCAGCAGUGAGGAAUAUUGGUCAAUGGGCGAGAGCCUGAACCAGCCAAGUCGCGUGAGGGAAGACGGUCCUAUGGAUUGUAAACCUCUUUUGUCGGGGAGCAAAAAGACUACGUGUAGUCCCAAGCGAGAGUACCCGAAGAAAAAGCAUCGGCUAACUCCGUGCCAGCAGCCGCGGUAAUACGGAGGAUGCGAGCGUUAUCCGGAUUUAUUGGGUUUAAAGGGUGCGUAGGCUGAAUGUCAAGUCAGCGGUAAAAAUUCCGGGCUCAACCCGGUCGUGCCGUUGAAACUGGCGUU
RNAcentral lists this ribosomal RNA (305 nucleotides) under uncultured bacterium. RNAcentral's name for it is "bacterial SSU rRNA". It matches the Rfam family "Bacterial small subunit ribosomal RNA", at positions 338 to 640 of the family's 1533-position model. The record is from RNAcentral.